Molecule: ribosomal RNA, 397 nt
Filed under: uncultured bacterium
Lineage: Bacteria
Description: partial 16S ribosomal RNA
Rfam family: Bacterial small subunit ribosomal RNA
Source: RNAcentral
AUACGUAGGGGGCGAGCGUUGUCCGGAAUGAUUGGGCGUAAAGGGCGCGUAGGCGGCCCGGUAAGUCUGGAGUGAAAGUCCUGUUUUUAAGCUGGGAAUUGCUUUGGAUACUGUCGGGCUUGAGUGCAGGAGAGGUAAGUGGAAUUCCCAGUGUAGCGGUGAAAUGCGUAGAGAUUGGGAGGAACACCAGUGGCGAAGGCGACUUACUGGACUGUAACUGACGCUGAGGCGCGAAAGUGUGGGGAGCAAACAGGAUUAGAUACCCUGGUAGUCCACACUGUAAACGAUGAAUGCUAGGUGUAGGGGGUAUCGACCCCUUCUGUGCCGCAGUCAACACAAUAAGCAUUCCGCCUGGGGAGUACGGCCGCAAGGUUGAAACUUAAAGGAAUUGGCGGGG